Molecule: ribosomal RNA, 1458 nt
Filed under: uncultured Bordetella sp.
Lineage: Bacteria; Pseudomonadati; Pseudomonadota; Betaproteobacteria; Burkholderiales; Alcaligenaceae
Description: partial 16S-23S ribosomal RNA intergenic spacer
Rfam family: Bacterial small subunit ribosomal RNA
Source: RNAcentral
GUUUGAUUCUGGCUCAGAUUGAACGCUGGCGGGAUGCUUUACACAUGCAAGUCGAACGGCAGCACGGACUUCGGUCUGGUGGCGAGUAGCAGAACGGGUGAGUAAUGUAUCGGAACGUGCCUAGUAGCGGGGGAUAACUACGCGAAAGCGUAGCUAAUACCGCAUACGCCCUUCGGGGAAAGCGGGGGGACCUUCGGGCCUCGCACUAUUAGAAGCAGCCGAUAUCGGAUUAGCUAGUUGGUGGGGUAACGGCUCACCAAGGCGACGAUCCGUAGCUGGUUUGAGAGGACGACCAGCCGCACUGGGACUGAGACGCAGCCCAGACCGGGGCAGCGGUAGAAUUUUGGACAACUGGGAAACCCUGAUCCAGCCAUCCGCGUGUGCGAUGAGGCCUUCGGGUUGUACUUUUGGCAGGAAAAACUGCUUCAGGAUAAUACCCCGUGCAACUGACGGUACCUGCAGAAUAAGCACCGGCUAACUACGUGCCAGCAGUCGCGGUAGCCGUAAGUGCAAGCGUUAAUCGGAAUUCACUGGGCGUAAAGCGCGUGCGCAGGCGGUUCGGAAAGAAAGAUGUGAAAUCCCAGAGCUUAACUUUGGAACUGCAUUUUUAACUACCGAGCUAGAGUGUCAGAGGGAGGUGGAAUUCCGCGUGUAGCAGUGAAAUGCGUAGAUAUGCGGAGGGAACACCGAUAGCGAAAAUAUCGAUCUUUACCGAAACGCUCUGUGCACGAAAGCGUGGAGCAAACAGGAUUAGAUACCCUGGUGGUCCACGCCUAAGCAAUCAACUAAUGUUGGGGCCUUCGGGCCUUGGUAGCGCAACUAGCGUGAAGUUGACCGCCUGGGGAAGCUACGGUCGCAAGAUUAAAACUCAAAGGAAUUGACGGGGACCCGCACAAGCGGUGGAUGAUGUGGAUUAAUUCGAUGCAACGCGAAAAACCUUACCUACCCUUGACAUGUCUGGAAUCCCGAAGAGAUUUGGGAGUGCUCGCAAGAGAACCGGAACACAGGUGCUGCAUGGCUGUCGUCAGCUCGUGUCGUGAGAUGUUGGGUUAAGUCCCGCAACGAGCGCAACCCAUCCAUUGGUUGCUACGAAGGGCACUCUGUCGGACUGCCGAUGAUGAAACCGGAGGAAGGUGGGGAUGACGUCAAGUCCUCAUGGCCCUUAUGGGUAGGGCUUCACACGUCAUACAAUGGUCGGAACAGAGGGUCGCCAACCCGCGAGGGGGGAGCCAAUCCCAGAAACCCGAUCGUCAGUCCGGAUCACAAAGUCUGCGCUCGACUGCGUGAAGUCAGAAUCGCUAGUAAUCGCGGAUCAGCAUGUCGCGGUGAAUACGUUCAGGUCUUGUACACACCGCCCGUCACAUGCAUGGGGUGGGUUUUACCAAUGGUCAGCCUAACCGUAAGGAGGGCGAUUACCACGGUAGGAUUCAUGACUGGGGUGAAGUCGUAACAAGGUAA